GAUUUAGAAGCCAAUGACUUGAGUCAACAUUUGACACUCCAUUGAUCACAAUAACUGAUUCAGCUGAUCUGGCUGGCUAGAUGUGUCCCCUUCCUCCCUCUCCCACACCAUGUGUGUCCUUCCAAAAACUCCAGUCUGUACAAAAGGAUGACCAUCGAGAUAGAAGGAGAAUAGUCAUCUUUCGUUUCAACAGCUUGAUCUGAAAUGACAAUCCAGUUUGGAAAGUGUGCACCACAAGGAGAGUCAACCAAGUCACCUCCAAAUGGAUUCAUUGCAUCUAGUCUAUGCACAGGCACACUAAAUUGACAGAUAGUUUGAUUGCUUGU
This 326-nucleotide small nuclear RNA is filed under the name Notechis scutatus (mainland tiger snake). RNAcentral's name for it is "7SK RNA (ENSNSUG00000011850.1)". The stretch from base 9 to 187 matches the Rfam family "7SK RNA". Rfam says of the family: 7SK was discovered as an abundant small nuclear RNA in the mid-70s but a possible function has only recently been suggested. Two independent studies have found that 7SK RNA binds the CDK9/cyclin T complex (known as elongation factor P-TEFb). P-TEFb activates transcription by phosphorylating the C-terminal domain of RNA polymerase II. The record is from RNAcentral. Lineage: Eukaryota; Metazoa; Chordata; Lepidosauria; Squamata; Elapidae.